GUUGCAUUAGAGGGCCAAAUCUGCUUUGGCAUGAAGCCCAUUUAGCAGGCUCGUCUGUGUCUGCAGUCUUCUCGCUGCCGAAGGAGAUUUGUCCUGCAAUUCUUCUG
Molecule: non-coding RNA, 107 nt
Organism: Vitis vinifera (wine grape)
Lineage: Eukaryota; Viridiplantae; Streptophyta; Magnoliopsida; Vitales; Vitaceae
Source: RefSeq, marked provisional